ACAGUGGCGCACGGGUGCGUAACACGUAGAUAAUCUGCCCUUCGGCGGGGGACAACGUUCCGAAAGGAGCGCUAAUACCGCGUACAGCUCGAGUGGUUUGCCACUUGAAGACAAAGGUAGGGACCGGCAACGGCCUACCGCCGGAGGAGGGGUCUGCGGCCCAUCAGCUAGUUGGUGAGGUAAUGGCUCACCAAGGCAAAGACGGGUAGCUGGUCUGAGAGGAUGAUCAGCCACACUGGUACUGGAACACGGACCAGACUCCUACGGGAGGCAGCAGUGGGGAAUCUUGGUCAAUGGGCGCAAGCCUGAACCAGCGAUGCCGCGUGAGUGAUGAAGGCCUUCGGGUUGUAAAGCUCUGUGGGGAGGGACGAAAGAAUCGGUUCUAACAGGACCGAAGUUGACGGUACCUCCUUAGCAAGCACCGGCUAACUCUGUGCCAGCAGCCGCGGUAA
RNAcentral lists this ribosomal RNA (452 nucleotides) under uncultured Pseudomonadota bacterium. RNAcentral describes it as "bacterial SSU rRNA". It matches the Rfam family "Bacterial small subunit ribosomal RNA", at positions 92 to 523 of the family's 1533-position model. The record is from RNAcentral. Lineage: Bacteria; Pseudomonadati; Pseudomonadota.